This 798-nucleotide ribosomal RNA is filed under the name uncultured bacterium. RNAcentral describes it as "bacterial SSU rRNA". It matches the Rfam family "Bacterial small subunit ribosomal RNA", at positions 8 to 796 of the family's 1533-position model. The record is from RNAcentral.
AGAGUUUGAUCAUGGCUCAGAGUGAACGCUGGCGGCGUGGAUUAGGCAUGCAAGUCGAGUGAUCCCGCAAGGGAUAGCGGCAGACGGGUGAUUAACACGUGGGUAACGUACCUCGAGGAGGAGAAUAGGAUAGGGAGACCUAUCGUAAUACUCCGUAGUCAGUGAAUCUGAAAUGGUUCAUUGUAAAGAUGGCCUCUAUUUAUAAGCUAUCGCCACGAGAGCGGCCUGCGGCCUAUCGGGUAGUUGGUGAGGUAACGGCCCACCAAGCCUAAGACGGGUAGCUGGUCUAAAAGGAUGGUCAGCCACAUCGGAACUGAGACACUGUCCGGACUCCUACGGGAGGCUGCAGUCGAGAAUCUUUCUCAAUGGACGAAAGUCUGAAGAUGCAACGCCGCGUGAGGGAUGAAGGCCUUCGGGUCGUAAACCUCUUUUGUUAGGGAGGAAACGUAAACGGUGAAUAAUCGUUUGCACUGACUGUACCUGAUGAAUAAGCCACGGCUAACUCCGUGCCAGCAGCCGCGGUAAUACGGAGGUGGCAAGCGUUACUCGGUUUGACUAGGUGUAAAGGGUCCGUAGGUGGCCUUGUAAGUGGAAGGUGAAAUCUCUUAGCUUAACUAAGAAAUUGCCUUUCAAACUGCAUGGCUAGAGGUUGGGAGGGGAUAGUGGAACUGCUAGUGUAAAGGUGAAAUUUGUGGAUAUUAGCAGGAACGCCUGUGGAGAAGUCGGCUAUCUGGUCCAUACCUGACACUGAGGGACGAAAGCUAGGGGAGCAAACAGGAUUAGAUACCCUAGUAGUCC